UUGCUCCUUGAUUCAUGGGCGGACGGGUGAGUAAUGCCUAGGAAUCUGCCUGGUAGUGGGGGACAACGUUUCGAAAGGAACGCUAAUACCGCAUACGUCCUACGGGAGAAAGCAGGGGACCUUCGGGCCUUGCGCUAUCAGAUGAGCCUAGGUCGGAUUAGCUAGUUGGUGGGGUAAUGGCUCACCAAGGCGACGAUCCGUAACUGGUCUGAGAGGAUGAUCAGUCACACUGGAACUGAGACACGGGCCAGACUCCUACGGGAGGCAGCAGUGGGGAAUAUUGGACAAUGGGCGAAAGCCUGAUCCAGCCAUGCCGCGUGUGUGAAGAAGGUCUUCGGAUUGUAAAGCACUUUAAGUUGGGAGGAAGGGCAGUAAGCUAAUACCUUGCUGUUUUGACGUUACCGACAGAAUAAGCACCGGCUAACUCUGUGCCAGCAGCCGCGGUAAUACAAAGGGUGCAAGCGUUAAUCGGAAUUACUGGGCGUAAAGCGCGCGUACGUGGUUUGUUAAGUUGGAUGUGAAAGCCCCGGGCUCAACCUGGGAACUGCAUCCAAAACUGGCAAGCUAGAGUACGGUAGAGGGUGGUGGAAUUUCCUGUGUAGCGGUGAAAUGCGUACAUAUAGGAAGGAACACCAGUGGCGAAGGCGACCACCUGGACUGAUACUGACACUGACGUGCGAAAGCGUGGGGAGCAAACAGGAUUAGAUACCCUGGUAGUCCACGCCGUAACGAUGUCAACUAGCCGUUGGAAUCCUUGAGAUU
This 762-nucleotide ribosomal RNA is filed under the name Pseudomonas putida. Its description in RNAcentral is "bacterial SSU rRNA". It matches the Rfam family "Bacterial small subunit ribosomal RNA", at positions 80 to 839 of the family's 1533-position model. Lineage: Bacteria; Pseudomonadati; Pseudomonadota; Gammaproteobacteria; Pseudomonadales; Pseudomonadaceae. The record is from RNAcentral.